AGAGUUUGAUCCUGGCUCAGGACGAACGCUGGCGGCGUGCUUAACACAUGCAAGUCGAACGAUGAACCACUUCGGUGGGGAUUAGUGGCGAACGGGUGAGUAACACGUGGGCAAUCUGCCCUGCACUCUGGGACAAGCCCUGGAAACGGGGUCUAAUACCGGAUACUGAUCCGCCUGGGCAUCCAGGCGGUUCGAAAGCUCCGGCGGUGCAGGAUGAGCCCGCGGCCUAUCAGCUUGUUGGUGAGGUAACGGCUCACCAAGGCGACGACGGGUAGCCGGCCUGAGAGGGCGACCGGCCACACUGGGACUGAGACACGGCCCAGACUCCUACGGGAGGCAGCAGUGGGGAAUAUUGCACAAUGGGCGCAAGCCUGAUGCAGCGACGCCGCGUGAGGGAUGACGGCCUUCGGGUUGUAAACCUCUUUCAGCAGGGAAGAAGCGCAAGUGACGGUACCUGCAGAAGAAGCGCCGGCUAACUACGUGCCAGCAGCCGCGGUAAUACGUAGGGCGCGAGCGUUGUCCGGAAUUAUUGGGCGUAAAGAGCUCGUAGGCGGCUUGUCGCGUCGGUUGUGAAAGCCCGGGGCUUAACCCCGGGUCUGCAGUCGAUACGGGCAGGCUAGAGUUCGGUAGGGGAGAUCGGAAUUCCUGGUGUAGCGGUGAAAUGCGCAGAUAUCAGGAGGAACACCGGUGGCGAAGGCGGAUCUCUGGGCCGAUACUGACGCUGAGGAGCGAAAGCGUGGGGAGCGAACAGGAUUAGAUACCCUGGUAGUCCACGCCGUAAACGGUGGGCACUAGGUGUGGGCGACAUUCCACGUCGUCCGUGCCGCAGCUAACGCAUAAGUGCCCGCUGG
This 851-nucleotide ribosomal RNA is filed under the name Streptomyces heliomycini. RNAcentral describes it as "bacterial SSU rRNA". It matches the Rfam family "Bacterial small subunit ribosomal RNA", at positions 9 to 873 of the family's 1533-position model. Lineage: Bacteria; Bacillati; Actinomycetota; Actinomycetes; Kitasatosporales; Streptomycetaceae. The record is from RNAcentral.